RNAcentral lists this long non-coding RNA (240 nucleotides) under Lathyrus oleraceus (garden pea). Its description in RNAcentral is "Pisum sativum (pea) long non-coding RNA (PSAT_LNC018930)". Lineage: Eukaryota; Viridiplantae; Streptophyta; Magnoliopsida; Fabales; Fabaceae. The record is from RNAcentral.
UUGAGGGACAUGAGUGACCUAUAUGGAAUUUGCCCAUCCUACGUAAUAGGAUAAAUGUCUAAGGGCCCAAUAUUGAAAUGGACAAGGAUGACACAGUCUAUGCCUUGUGUUCAAUAUAGACAUAAGGGCAAAAGGGUAAUUGUACACACAAGUAUUAUCACAAAAAGGAUUUGUCAUAUCAUAUGACAUUUUAGUGUCUUGGAUAGCAGUGAUGUGUUGCUAAAUACUGCUCACUAUUUA